AUCAGGUAGGGAUACCCGCUGAACUUAAGCAUAUCAAUAAGCGGAGGAAAAGAAACCAACAGGGAUUGCCUCAGUAACGGCGAGUGAAGCGGCAAGAGCUCAAAUUUGAAAGCUGGCUCCUUCGGGGUCCGCAUUGUAAUUUGCAGAGGAUGUUUCGGAAGCAGCCCCCAUCUAAGUGUCCUGGAACGGACCGUCAUAGAGGGUGAGAAUCCCGUAUGGGAUGGGGUGUCUGCGUCCAUGUGAAACUCCUUCGACGAGUCGAGUUGUUUGGGAAUGCAGCUCUAAAUGGGUGGUAAAUUUCAUCUAAAGCUAAAUAUUGGCCGGAGACCGAUAGCGCACAAGUAGAGUGAUCGAAAGAUGAAAAGCACUUUGAAAAGAGAGUUAAAAAGCACGUGAAAUUGUUGAAAGGGAAGCGCUUGCGAUCAGACUCGCCUUGGGGGUUCAGCCGGCAUUCGUGCCGGUGUACUUCCCCCAGGGCGGGCCAGCGUCGGUUUGGGUGGCUGGUCAAAGGCCCUUGGAAUGUAACGCCUCUCGGGGCGUCUUAUAGCCAAGGGUGCCAUGCAGCCUACCUGGACCGAGGAACGCGCUUCGGCUCGGACGCUGGCAUAAUGGUCGUAAGCGACC
Molecule: ribosomal RNA, 624 nt
Filed under: Penicillium thomii
Lineage: Eukaryota; Fungi; Ascomycota; Eurotiomycetes; Eurotiales; Aspergillaceae
Description: eukaryotic LSU rRNA
Rfam family: Eukaryotic large subunit ribosomal RNA
Source: RNAcentral